GUCGGCGUAGCUCAGCCGGUUAGAGCGUGGGACUCAUAAGCCCAAGGUCGCUGGUUCGAUUCCAGCCGCCGACACCA
This 77-nucleotide transfer RNA is filed under the name Candidatus Doudnabacteria bacterium RIFCSPHIGHO2_01_43_10. RNAcentral's name for it is "tRNA-Met". It matches the Rfam family "tRNA". Rfam says of the family: Transfer RNA (tRNA) molecules are approximately 80 nucleotides in length. Their secondary structure includes four short double-helical elements and three loops (D, anti-codon, and T loops). The record is from RNAcentral. Lineage: Bacteria; Candidatus Doudnaibacteriota. RNAcentral also lists the same sequence under 5 other names.